UGUGAAUAUGGGACUCUGCGUGCGUGAUGGAGUGCCAGGCAGAUUCAUGGAAGAAAUUGGGUGGCUGUGUUUUGAUUGUGCACGCCGGACAUGAGCUUGUGAGUUAGUUCAUUCUUGGUCCCGUGCUCCUUCUGUUGGGUAAAACUUGGAUCUGAACCGAGGAGGCCCAAAGCUCCAACCAGGGCAGAACACUGGGUGGCAACCACCACGGAAGCCCUGCAGCAGCCCCUGCAGUCAACUGUCUCUCCUUUCCCGGUUGUGGGCACAGCACAUGAGGAACAGGCCGUUCCCUGCUCCUGGGCUGCGUGUUGCGACCUAGGCCCGUGCACAGGAGACCCUGAAGAAGCUGCACCCGAGCGCAAUGAAGACGAGGGUAAGCGCGCCAUGUGGACGCCUUUGCAUCAGGAUGCCAGGAAUUCGCCCACUCUCGGUGGAGGCCACAAGGCCGGCCUCGCUAGGCCCCCUCUCUGCUGCCCAACCCUCGCCUGCCUUCCUUCGAGGGGGCUACCGAGUCUCCCGCGCCAGGGUGGACACCUCCACUCCCCCUUGCCCCCGGGGACGCACCGAGCGCCUGCACCCUCCUCGGCUCGCCCCCUCCCGGCCUUUGUGUGGUGCGGGACCCCGGCCCGCCGCCCCUGUGAACCGCCUGCCCCGCGCGGAGGCGGGGGCACUUUUCAAUGCCUCGCCGCAGCUCCCUCCAGAUUUGUAAUCCGCCAAAAAGCCGCUGAUUGCUGCAAUCGUUACUUUUCAUUAAAAAAACUUAGAAGCAAUUUGGGAGAACUCUUCUCAAUGAAUACAUUUACCCCCGAACGGUCUUUAUUCUCCGCCUCCACUUGAUGAGUU
Molecule: long non-coding RNA, 843 nt
Filed under: Heterocephalus glaber (naked mole-rat)
Lineage: Eukaryota; Metazoa; Chordata; Mammalia; Rodentia; Bathyergidae
Description: lncRNA (ENSHGLG00000025238.2)
Source: RNAcentral